RNAcentral lists this ribosomal RNA (425 nucleotides) under uncultured Clostridium sp. RNAcentral describes it as "bacterial SSU rRNA". It matches the Rfam family "Bacterial small subunit ribosomal RNA", at positions 355 to 794 of the family's 1533-position model. The record is from RNAcentral. Lineage: Bacteria; Bacillati; Bacillota; Clostridia; Eubacteriales; Clostridiaceae.
UAGGGAAUAUUGGGCAAUGGGGGAAACCCUGACCCAGCAACGCCGCGUGAAGGAAGAAGGCUUUCGGGUUGUAAACUUCUUUUACCAGGGACGAAGAACGUGACGGUACCUGGAGAAAAAGCUACGGCUAACUACGUGCCAGCAGCCGCGGUAAUACGUAGGUAGCAAGCGUUGUCCGGAUUUACUGGGUGUAAAGGGCGUGUAGGCGGGAUUGCAAGUCAGAUGUGAAAUCCAUGGGCUUAACCCAUGAACUGCAUUUGAAACUGCGAUUCUUGAGUAUCGGAGAGGCAAGCGGAAUUCCUAGUGUAGCGGUGAAAUGCGUAGAUAUUAGGAGGAACAUCAGUGGCGAAGGCGGCUUGCUGGACGACAACUGACGCUGAGGCGCGAAAGCGUGGGUAGCAAACAGGAUUAGAUACCCUGGUAGU